GCUAGUCGAACGGUAACAGGAAGCAGCUUGCUGCUUUGCUGACGAGUGGCGGACGGGUGAGUAAUGUCUGGGAAACUGCCUGAUGGAGGGGGAUAACUACUGGAAACGGUGGCUAAUACCGCAUAACGUCGCAAGACCAAAGAGGGGGACCUUCGGGCCUCUUGCCAUCAGAUGUGCCCAGAUGGGAUUAGCUUGUUGGUGAGGUAACGGCUCACCAAGGCGACGAUCCCUAGCUGGUCUGAGAGGAUGACCAGCCACACUGGAACUGAGACACGGUCCAGACUCCUACGGGAGGCAGCAGUGGGGAAUAUUGCACAAUGGGCGCAAGCCUGAUGCAGCCAUGCCGCGUGUAUGAAGAAGGCCUUCGGGUUGUAAAGUACUUUCAGCGGGGAGGAAGGUGUUGUGGUUAAUAACCGCAGCAAUUGACGUUACCCGCAGAAGAAGCACCGGCUAACUCCGUGCCAGCAGCCGCGGUAAUACGGAGGGUGCAAGCGUUAAUCGGAAUUACUGGGCGUAAAGCGCACGCAGGCGGUCUGUCAAGUCGGAUGUGAAAUCCCCGGGCUCAACCUGGGAACUGCAUUCGAAACUGGCAGGCUUGAGUCUUGUAGAGGGGGGUAGAAUUCCAGGUGUAGCGGUGAAAUGCGUAGAGAUCUGGAGGAAUACCGGUGGCGAAGGCGGCCCCCUGGACAAAGACUGACGCUCAGGUGCGAAAGCGUGGGGAGCAAACAGGAUUAGAUACCCUGGUAGUCCACGCCGUAAACGAUGUCUACUUGGAGGUUGUGCCCUUGAGGCGUGGCUUCCGGAGCUAACGCGUUAAGUAGACCGCCUGGGGAGUACGGCCGCAAGGUUAUAACUCAAAUGAAUUGACGGGGGCCCGCACAAGCGGUGGAGCAUGUGGUUUUAAUUCGAUGCAACGCGAAGAACCUUACCUGGUCUUGACAUCCACAGAACUAUUCCAGAGAUGGAUUGGUGCCUUCGGGAACCGUGAGACAGUGCUGCAUGGCUGUCGUCAGCUCGUGUUGUGAA
Molecule: ribosomal RNA, 1026 nt
Filed under: Salmonella enterica subsp. enterica serovar Typhi
Lineage: Bacteria; Pseudomonadati; Pseudomonadota; Gammaproteobacteria; Enterobacterales; Enterobacteriaceae
Description: bacterial SSU rRNA
Rfam family: Bacterial small subunit ribosomal RNA
Source: RNAcentral